Molecule: unclassified non-coding RNA, 686 nt
Filed under: Leishmania donovani
Lineage: Eukaryota; Euglenozoa; Kinetoplastea; Trypanosomatida; Trypanosomatidae
Description: gene:unknown
Source: RNAcentral
ACCCGUGUCGAAGCGAGUUUCUUUCUUCUAGCCCACCGCAAAUCAUCAAAAUUGCAGAUCAUGCUCCGUCGCACUUGCUUGACUGCUCUGCAGCGCAGCAGCGUCCGCUACGCUGCCGCGGCUCCGAAGACUUCAUUCGCCGCUGGGAAAGCUGGUGCUGCUUCCACGGCCCCUGAAAUGACCUCCAAGGCCGGUGCCUCUACCACCGGUGGGGACACGGUGAUGGACAAAAUGGUCCUUUUGGCGGCCCUUGGCUCGCUUGUGGCUUGGUGGAUGACUGUGCCUGGCCCCCAGCACCAGCACUAAGAAAGGGAGCGUUGUUCCCCGGAGGAGUAAAUCACCCAUGCGUUUUUUUUUUUUCCCCUCGGUCGGUUUCCACACCCUUACCGCGCGUCAGUAAGAAGCAGGGGAUUUCUGUAAUUCAGGGCAAUGGGUCAAAGGAAGUUGCCAGAGUGGCGGGUCUAAUAGUAGUAUCAUCUCCGAUGAAGGCAACGAGAAGAAAAAAGUGCGCUGUAGCACGAACGCAGGGGUGGCGAGAAAUCUCUGUGGUGUGUCGUUGUGACUACAGACCCUUUCUGUUUUGUAGGUUAACUCUCAUCAGCCUGCCCUAGACUUGAGGAGUGAUACCGGCAUGCGUAGUGGUCCGGCAUCCUCGUCCUGGAAGCAUGACGUUGCAUGCCUAUCCG